This 89-nucleotide microRNA precursor is filed under the name Branchiostoma floridae (Florida lancelet). RNAcentral's name for it is "mir-2060 microRNA precursor family". It matches the Rfam family "mir-2060 microRNA precursor family". Lineage: Eukaryota; Metazoa; Chordata; Leptocardii; Amphioxiformes; Branchiostomatidae. The record is from Rfam by way of RNAcentral.
GCUUGCCUGUGUGUGGUGUUCAGUACCAAGGACAGGUUUGUUUACUUUGUGUUGGUUGUGUUCAGCACCAGGUACAGGUGUGUUUGGGA